CACUCUCCAUCAUCUCUCUCACUCCCUCACGCUACCUCACUACCACACACAUAUUCUCUCUGUAAAAAGAAAAUAAAAAGAAGAGAAAAAGAAGACAUUAAAUCUCUCUUACUGUUUAUCUUCUUGGAACACACCUACCACCAUCCCCAAUCGUCUUCUCCACAAAACCACCUUCGCCGUCCAACAACCACGACUCACGCUCACCUUCCUCGUCUCCGCGCAACUAUUUGUUCCAUCUCCUUCGUCCUUCAACCCUUCCUCCUCCGUAAAGUAAACCCUUCAACUCACCACACGGUGGAACCUUAAACCGUAAUCCUAAAAACCACACGCCGCCGCCAUCAUCUACUUCGUCAUCACCUUCAAACAACACCCAUCGUCGUUUCUCUCUCCGUCUUCUCCUCCACCGCGCCCUCAAUCAUCAAGCUAUCCACCUCCGACGCACUCCGUCACAACCACCGGCAACCACACUGAUAAGAUUCGUGAUUCAGAUUAGCAUUGGAGUAAAGAUGAGCACAAAUUAAAAUCCAAGAGCAAAGAGGGGUGAAUGGGUUGUUAACAAGCUCGCACCAAAGCCACUGAGGAAGCACCGCGUUAACACAAUUUUGGGAAUGGAUUUUGUUUGUCAGUUUGCAUUUUGAAGGACAGAAUGUGGUCAGUUAUCUUCUCCGCCCUCUGUUAUAAUGCCAUGCAUAACUUGUCACAAAGAUUAGAGUACAAAGUAAUAUAGUGUAGGAUGAGGCCAUCGACUUAAAUUGUUAUGUUUAAGCAUUUAAAAUCUUUUAUUAAGUUAAUGAAUUUUGUUGUUUU
Lathyrus oleraceus (garden pea) is the source of this 807-nucleotide long non-coding RNA. RefSeq lists it as uncharacterized. NCBI's taxonomy places the organism in Eukaryota, Viridiplantae, Streptophyta, Magnoliopsida, Fabales, Fabaceae. The record is from RefSeq and is a predicted model, not a curated record. The transcript has 2 exons.